UACAGAGGUCCCAAGCGUUGUUCGGAUUCACUGGGCGUAAAGGGUGCGUAGGUGGUGAGGUAAGUCGGAUGUGAAAUCUCCGGGCUCAACCCGGAAAUGGCAUUGGAAACUACCUUGCUAGAGGAUUUGAGGGGGGAUUGGAAUACUUGGUGUAGCGGUGAAAUGCGUAGAUAUCAGGAGGAACACCGGUGGCGAAGGCGGCUACCUGGACAGAAACUGACGCUGAGGCGCGAAAGCUAGGGGAGCAAACAGG
RNAcentral lists this ribosomal RNA (253 nucleotides) under uncultured bacterium. RNAcentral's name for it is "partial 16S ribosomal RNA". It matches the Rfam family "Bacterial small subunit ribosomal RNA", at positions 524 to 776 of the family's 1533-position model. The record is from RNAcentral.